Molecule: transfer RNA, 72 nt
Filed under: Marmota monax (woodchuck)
Lineage: Eukaryota; Metazoa; Chordata; Mammalia; Rodentia; Sciuridae
Rfam family: tRNA
About the family: Transfer RNA (tRNA) molecules are approximately 80 nucleotides in length.
Source: Rfam by way of RNAcentral
GGGGUUGUGGCUCAGGGGUAGAGCACUUGCUUGGCAUGUAUGAGGCACUGGGUUAGAUACACAGCAACACAU